RNAcentral lists this unclassified non-coding RNA (347 nucleotides) under Hevea brasiliensis (rubber tree). The record is from RNAcentral. Lineage: Eukaryota; Viridiplantae; Streptophyta; Magnoliopsida; Malpighiales; Euphorbiaceae.
CACUUAGUCCUAAGGAGAGCUACAUUAAUUUCUGAUGAACUGUUUGAGGAGCUGUAUUUGACUAUGAUUUAUAUACGGGGGGAUCUCCUCUAGAACAUAGUGAUAAGCUCUGUUUUUGUAAUGUAUAUCAAUUGUUGUUACCAGUUUACCUCUGUGAAACAUGCAGGCAUCAUACGGAAGACCAGAACAGUUAUGGAAUGUUUGCAUCGAUUUUGCAGAGAAUGCAUUGACAAGUCUAUGCGAAUGGGGAACAAUGAGUGUCCUGCUUGUCGUACCCACUGUGCUAGUCGCCGUUCUCUGAGAGAUGAUCCGAACUAUGAUGCUCUAAUUGCAUUUCUAUAUCCAGA